This 200-nucleotide ribosomal RNA is filed under the name uncultured bacterium. RNAcentral's name for it is "partial 16S ribosomal RNA". It matches the Rfam family "Bacterial small subunit ribosomal RNA", at positions 8 to 220 of the family's 1533-position model. The record is from RNAcentral.
AGAGUUUGAUCAUGGCUCAGAAUCAACGCUGGCGGCGUGCCUAACACAUGCAAGUCGCACGAGAAAGCAGACUUCGGUCUGUGAGUAAAGUGGCGCACGGGUGAGUAACACGUGACUAACCUACCCUCGAGUGGGGAAUAACUCGUCGAAAGGCGAGCUAAUACCGCAUAACACUUACGAGUCAAAGCAGCAAUGCGCUU